GACGAACGCUGGCGGCGUGCUUAACACAUGCAAGUCGAACGGAAAGGCCCUUCGGGGUACUCGAGUGGCGAACGGGUGAGUAACACGUGGGUGAUCUGCCCUGCACUUUGGGAUAAGCCUGGGAAACUGGGUCUAAUACCGAAUAUGAUCAUCGGCUUCAUGGUCGGUGGUGGAAAGCUUUUGCGGUGUGGGAUGGGCCCGCGGCCUAUCAGCUUGUUGGUGGGGUAAUGGCCUACCAAGGCGACGACGGGUAGCCGGCCUGAGAGGGUGACCGGCCACACUGGGACUGAGAUACGGCCCAGACUCCUACGGGAGGCAGCAGUGGGGAAUAUUGCACAAUGGGCGCAAGCCUGAUGCAGCGACGCCGCGUGAGGGAUGACGGCCUUCGGGUUGUAAACCUCCUUCAGCACAGACGAAGCGCAAGUGACGGUAGGUGCAGAAGAAGGACCGGCCAACUACGUG
RNAcentral lists this ribosomal RNA (462 nucleotides) under uncultured bacterium. Its description in RNAcentral is "partial 16S ribosomal RNA". It matches the Rfam family "Bacterial small subunit ribosomal RNA", at positions 28 to 507 of the family's 1533-position model. The record is from RNAcentral.